GACGAACGCUGGCGGCGUGCCUAAUACAUGCAAGUCGAGCGGACGAAUCGAAAGCUUGCUUUUGAUUCGUUAGCGGCGGACGGGUGAGUAACACGUGGGCAACCUGCCCUGUAGACGGGGAUAACACCGAGAAAUCGGUGCUAAUACCGGAUAACACGAAAUGUCGCAUGACGUUUCGUUGAAAGACGGCGCAAGCUGUCGCUACAGGAUGGGCCCGCGGCGCAUUAGCUAGUUGGUGAGGUAACGGCUCACCAAGGCGACGAUGCGUAGCCGACCUGAGAGGGUGAUCGGCCACACUGGGACUGAGACACGGCCCAGACUCCUACGGGAGGCAGCAGUAGGGAAUCUUCCGCAAUGGACGAAAGUCUGACGGAGCAACGCCGCGUGAGCGAAGAAGGCCUUCGGGUCGUAAAGCUCUGUUGUUAGGGAAGAACAAGUAACGCAGUAACUGGCGUUACCGUGACGGUACCUAAAGAGAAAGCCACGGCUAACUACGUG
This 498-nucleotide ribosomal RNA is filed under the name uncultured bacterium. RNAcentral's name for it is "partial 16S ribosomal RNA". It matches the Rfam family "Bacterial small subunit ribosomal RNA", at positions 28 to 507 of the family's 1533-position model. The record is from RNAcentral.